RNAcentral lists this ribosomal RNA (761 nucleotides) under Pedococcus aerophilus. RNAcentral's name for it is "bacterial SSU rRNA". It matches the Rfam family "Bacterial small subunit ribosomal RNA", at positions 709 to 1465 of the family's 1533-position model. Lineage: Bacteria; Bacillati; Actinomycetota; Actinomycetes; Micrococcales; Intrasporangiaceae. The record is from RNAcentral.
CCGAUGGCGAAGGCAGGUCUCUGGGCCACUACUGACGCUGAGAAGCGAAAGCAUGGGGAGCGAACAGGAUUAGAUACCCUGGUAGUCCAUGCCGUAAACGUUGGGAACUAGGUGUGGGUCUCAUUCCACGAGAUCCGUGCCGCAGCUAACGCAUUAAGUUCCCCGCCUGGGGAGUACGGCCGCAAGGCUAAAACUCAAAGGAAUUGACGGGGGCCCGCACAAGCGGCGGAGCAUGCGGAUUAAUUCGAUGCAACGCGAAGAACCUUACCAAGGCUUGACAUAUGCGAGAACGCGGCAGAGAUGUCGUUCUCUUUGGACACUCGUAUACAGGUGGUGCAUGGUUGUCGUCAGCUCGUGUCGUGAGAUGUUGGGUUAAGUCCCGCAACGAGCGCAACCCUCGUUCUAUGUUGCCAGCACGUGAUGGUGGGGACUCAUAGGAGACUGCCGGGGUCAACUCGGAGGAAGGUGGGGAUGACGUCAAAUCAUCAUGCCCCUUAUGUCUUGGGCUUCACGCAUGNUACAAUGGCCGGUACAAAGGGCUGCGAAACCGCGAGGUGGAGCGAAUCCCAAAAAACCGGUCUCAGUUCGGAUUGGGGUCUGCAACUCGACCCCAUGAAGUCGGAGUCGCUAGUAAUCGCAGAUCAGCAACGNUGCGGUGAAUACGUUCCCGGNCCUUGUACACACCGCCCGUCAAGUCACGAAAGUCGGUAACACCCGAAGCCGGUGGCCCAACUCGCAAGAGAGGGAGCUGUNGAAGGUGG